RNAcentral lists this ribosomal RNA (373 nucleotides) under uncultured organism. Its description in RNAcentral is "bacterial SSU rRNA". It matches the Rfam family "Bacterial small subunit ribosomal RNA", at positions 526 to 896 of the family's 1533-position model. The record is from RNAcentral.
CGGGGGGAGCAAGCGUUGUUCGGAUUUACUGGGCGUAAAGGGCGCGUAGGCGGCCUCUGCAAGUCGACUGUGAAAUCUCCGGGCUUAACCCGGAACGGUCAGCCGAUACUGCAGGGCUAGAGUGCAGAAGGGGCAACUGGAAUUCUCGGUGUAGCGGUGAAAUGCGUAGAUAUCGAGAGGAACACCUGCGGCGAAGGCGGGUUGCUGGGCUGACACUGACGCUGAGGCGCGAAAGCUAGGGAGCGAACGGGAUUAGAUACCCCGGUAGUCCUAGCCUUAAACGAUGAAUGCUUGGUGUCUGGGGUUUUAUAGUCCCCGGGUGCCGUCGCUAACGCUUUAAGCAUUCCGCCUGGGGAGUACGGUCGCAAGACUG